ACUUAGUUCCUUACUAUCUACCAAACAACUUGUUUGCAUUAGGUAGAAAGUAACAAGCUGAAAUGUUGAUCUAUAUGAAACGUUAUUUUAGUACACGGAACUGAAACAAGAAUUGCCAAAAUCUGAUCAAUAUAUAUCUUACCUGCAAAUAAACAACAAUUGACCUCACUUUUUUCCUCUGAUCUCAACACAAAUCUCUAAAAAUAUCUGGAAAUACAUGUAUAAAAUCCAAGCUCUCCAUCAUCCAGCAACCUAAGCUGGAUUCUGAAAACAAAUAAUCAUAUCACCAGCCAUAUAGAAUUACCCGUCUGGCUUCAAACUUGUCCCUGUAUUUAUAACAGUAUGUAUAGCUGAAUAUUAAGGGAAAGAUUUAUAUACUUUACAACAUUCAUCAAAUCUCCCAACAUCAUCUUCAACUGCCCAUAUCCACGUAUUCCUUCCAUUCGUUUUCGUCCUUGACCCUCUUCAACACUCCUUCGAUUGCAAUUUCAAAUGCAUCCUUGACACUCCCAAGACCUCCACUUGGCCUUGCAUACACUAUUCUUGGAAUUGUCUCUACAACUUUUUCCCUCAUUUUCCUCACUUGAUCUUUACUGUAACUCAUCAAAAUUUCCUUAAUGGAAGCUGUCCCAUUUCUCACUGCUUCCGGGUCUAUAAACACAGAAUAACUCCCCGGGUCUUCCGGCAAAAACCACUGGUACUGAGUGUAAGCCGUUCGCCUCCAGAAGAAAACCGGUACUGAACCAGCCACCAUGCAAUCAAAAACUGACCGCCGAGUCAAGCUGUCCCCUUUGGGCUGUAAACAGAAGUCUGAGCUCAGAAGUGCUUUUUGGAUUUCUGAUGAACCGUUAGAGCAGGGAAUCACGGCACAGUCCACAACUCGGCACGAGUCUGACUCGUUCCUACAGUAACUCAUUAACCUCGAUCUGAAAUCACUAUCGAUAUCCCCACGCGCCGCCCCUAUGAAGGUGAAUAGACUGGUGCGGUUAUAUGAAAGUGCAAACUUUUGCCAUUCUCGGAGUUCUUUCUCGGAAUGAGGGUGGAAUCCGGUAGGGUAAGGUACACUGAUAUCGUUUGCAUCCCAUGGAGCCUUCUCGAUUGUGAAUCGCGUAACAUUCUGCAUCUGCGGUCGAUUUAGAAAAGAGGAUCCCCAGAGUUUUUCUGGGUCACCUAAUCGCCGGAAAUCCCACGUUAUCCGACCAAGUGUGAGGAAAUGGUCCAAACCCUUAUAUUUUUUCCAAUACUUUUGCCUUUGAACCCAUUUCAGUAAUUUGUUGCUAAGAAAAUCUCGAUUUUCAAUUUCAUCAGUCCAAAGGUAUUUCCCAACAGCCUGUCCGGCGUAGAACGGAAUGUAGAAAGCCGUAGCAGAUUCUGGGUCGUUGGUUCUACAUCUAUAGUUUAAAAGCCGGUAAUGAAAUAUUACCUCUGAUGAGAACUGAUUUGUACGAUACCACGCUGCGGAGAGAUUCCCCGGCAAGAUUCCGGCGAGCUCCGUCGAUCUCUUUCCAUAUCCAUCAUUGGUCACAAGACCACACUGCCACUUCCAUGGGUCUAGAUCGUCACAGGUCAACAAAGCUAAAUCUUUGUUAAAUUUGGAUGGUAAAUUAUAGACAUAGACCCGACCAUACUCGCAUUCAGAAUCGCCGAAGGGAUAAAUUACAUUUGCAUCGUGAUGGGCUGUCUGUAAAUCGGGAAAUACAUCGAUUUCUGAAGGGAAUUGGGGGAGAGGACUGGGUGGGGAAUGAACUGAGAAAGGGAAAGGGGAAUUGCGAGUAAAGAUAAGCACCACAAGUUGAAAAAAAAGGAAGAAGGUAAAAAGCCAGAAACGAGGAUGAGUAGAAAUCUGAUACUGAAAAUUACUCACAGCAUUCUUUAGAAAAUCAUUGUUGUUAGUUUUUAGAGGUUUGCGCAUAGCUUCAUCGGCGCCCGGCGACUCGUCGGAGUAAGGUGACAGCAUCUGAUGAAAACUGGACUUGAAAAAAUUGCAGAGAAGAAGAAAUGCCCUAAAAAGUAGAGAACAGAGUAUUAUUAAGUAUAGAAAAUUCUUGUUUAGCAGAGUG
Molecule: unclassified non-coding RNA, 2060 nt
Filed under: Hevea brasiliensis (rubber tree)
Lineage: Eukaryota; Viridiplantae; Streptophyta; Magnoliopsida; Malpighiales; Euphorbiaceae
Source: RNAcentral